UCAAUCACCAACUAGACCUAGGAAAGACUGAACCGAUGCCCAUCAGUUUGACCAUCGGUGGGGAACCUUUUAUAGCCUGUUCAAGGCGGCUUCAAGGCAGACAAAAGCAGAGAAGGAGGAUGUGGAGCAGGGACGCUAUGGGGAGAUGCCUGGAAAUAAGUGGUGUUCCUUGGAGCAGGGAUAUUGGCUGGGUUCAGCCCCGAGAAGCCCUGGGCCUGAGAUUCCUCACCAUUUGGAUGAGACAAUGGAUGCCACUACUUAUGCGGCACCUGAAGAGUUGGCAUCAUCACUCAGGAAGUCUGGACCUCUCCGUUUCAACUUUGGGAUUGCAAGUCUCGUUUUCAUGUGUCUUUGUUGAUUUUGAUUUUUAAAAUGGUUUUUUUUUUUGGUCGCACAUGGUAUUCAAUUUUUUGAAUACUUAUUUUUUUGUAAGCUUUGUAUGAAUAUAGGAAGUUGCCUUAUACUGAGGCAGCUCACCUGCCAAUCUAGCCCAGUGUGUUGUCCACACACUGUUGACUGGUAGGGGUCUCAGGGCUUACAGGCAGGGGACAUUUCCAGCCCUACCUGGAUAUAUUGGGGACUGAACCAAGGACUAUCUUAUAGGUUUUGUCGUAUAAACUUCCAAUAUUGGUUAUUACCCCCAUUCCAAAUAAGACAAAGCAGGAAAAUGUGCAGUUUACAGAGCUGCAGUUCAUCUGAUGUAAUUUAGCAGGGUGCAGUCAGAUGUUGCCUUGAUUGUUGCCCCCCUCAAUUCUGUGCAUAAGAGAGCUUCAGAGAUUCGCAAAGGGAUGGAAUAAAGUUUCUGAAGAAUUUUUUUCUGCACUAUUUCUAAGGCUUUGAAUCUGGAUUUAGAAUUGAAGCCUCAAAUGCCCACACUGUAAAGCUUGGGUAGAAAGUUACUAAUAAGUCAUAAUCAUUCAUUCAUUCAUUCAUUCAUUCAUUCAUCAUUUCUCUUUUAAAAACAGUCCAUUGUUCAGGAUGAGACCAAAGACCUGAAAGAAAGGGUGGAAGCAAAUCACCUCAGCCAUGUUUCAGAUGACAUCCAAUUAUUCCUGAGGAGCAUAUCUACUUCUGAAGAUUAUGACAAUUAAGCAACAAGAACAACAAGUGCUUUUAAAAAUGUGCUGCUUUUUUGCAACUCAAAUAUAGGUCCUUGACUCUUGCUGUGAAUCCUCUCUCCAGUCACUGAAAUGGUGCAGCUGAACAAUGUGAGAAAGUUUGUCUGCGGAUGGAAUCCCAGCAACAGAUAUCAAGCUAUUUUCUUUUGUGUGUUCUGUGUUUUUCCUAUUUCUAUUUAUCUUUAUCCAUCUGGCCAUCCUUCCUCCCAUCCUGAAUACACACGCAACACACACACACACACACACAAACACCCCUUCUUCCUCGAGAAGAGAAAUGUCAUGAUGACAUCAGGGUUGUGUGGGAAUACACGUAUUUUGAAGUCCACAACCAUAUUGGGCUGUCAUGCAACCCACGGACAGCUUCAAAGGGAGUUAGUGCACCAUCUGUAGACAGUUCCAUUCAGCAGUCCCCAUCACUCUCUGGCCAUCUGUUAACUUCUCAGCUUACCUGCACUGCAAAAUAAAGAGACGAUUUCCCAGAAAUCCCAGAGAAACAUGCCUUCCCUUGAGCUUCAGACCUGGGGAUUACAAAAAGGACAGAGGGGAAAAGAGAAAAGAACACCCCCCCCAAACACACACACACACACACACACACACACACACACACACACACUUUUUCUCAUUUCCGUAUGCCAACUUUUAUAUAAUGCAGCAGAACAGAAUAAAACAUUUCCCUCUAUUUCCAACAUUCAGAGGUAAGUGUAGUUCCUUACAUUGCCGAAAUGGAUUCAUCCAUGCACUGGGGUUAUCAGCACGUUUGUGAGAACCUCAAGGAUUGAAGAAAGACAAAGAUAAAAAUAACUUGCAUGUUUGUAUUUUCAUCACCUUCACCAUAUUUUUUGGGGAAGGGGGGAGAACGCAAGGAUGAAGGAACCUCAGAAACAACUGACUGAGAAUAGACAUGCUCAAUGGCCACAGAAUGAUGACUCUUGAGGACGGAGAGAAAUGCAAGAGCAGGUGGAAGCGGGGGGUGGAAUUGGAGCAUCACAGAGGAGUCGCAGGGUGUGGCUGAAUGGAACUGUACACAUUUCACAAGGCAACAUUUUAGUGCAGGUACCACUUGCCCGCCAGGUAAAGAUUUCCUUUGGUUUUUAAUGAACUGAGAUGUUGCUGUUAGUGUGCUAUCAAAAUUUCCCGCUGCUGUUAUGGAGGUGUGUGUGUGUUUGUGUGUGAAUGAAUGAUGGAAUUGCAUGCCUUUUGUUUUGUAUGAAUCUGUUCAUGGUACAAUGUAAUUAUGUAUAAUUAUGUAAUUUAUCUUUUUAAACAUAUUGUAAAUCAGCUGGAGACCUUUCGGUGACUAGUGGCUAACAAGUCUAACAACAACAACAACAACAACGGACAGAUGCUGGAAAUGAACAUUGUUUACUGCAGUGCAACUGAAAUUUUAAUGUGGUGCAAAUCAUUUCCAAUAGAAUCUUUAAAUUUGGAUAAAGAAGUCUUCCAUGCCUCUUGCAUGAUUCCAUAGCAAACCAGGGAUUGAUUUCCUUUAAAAUCAGCAUUCCUGUUACAUCUUCUCGUUUUUAGCAAUGUUUUUCCCAGCCUCCUUGCUAAUCAGAUUGCUCAAGUUUCCCUCAUCACUCCCAGCAUUUUGAGACACAUGCAUAGCUAUGAGUGUGAUGUCACCAAGAAAUUUUCAUGAUGUCACGGCCAGUUCUUCCUAGAGUAGUUUUUCCAUUUUUCUUUAGAAAAUGUUUUUCUCCCUUCAGAUAAGGUGUCAAGUGAACUGUAUUUAGCAUCUUACAAACAAUACUUUUCCUACCCAAACAAUAACUUAGAUUAGCAUUAAAUAGGUAAAUAACAUUAACUACAAGGAUAACCAAGUCUGGGAGAGGGAAACUAAAAAUUAAACCAGCAGUGGAAUCAGAAAGUGAGUACACAUUUUACUUGAGCACAAAAAGAGGAAAUAUUUUUAUUAUUUUAAUCAUCAUGACAAUUCAUGAACAUAUUAGCACAAAUUUCUCCUAACAAACAAAUAUUUCUACACAGGUUUUUUUUUACUGUUUUGCACAUUUUUACAAGUAAGUGUAUUUAAAAAUCUAUUUUUGUAUGCUAUUUUCACUAGUAUGCUCAUUUUUAUUCAAACUUUUCCAUAAUACAUGCAUUUUUGUAAGCACUGGCCAGUUGGAAAAUGGCACCAGAAAUAUCAGAAAACUGAGAAUUUCACAGGAUUCCCAUGUUUUGGUUCUCUUAUUGUUCUGGAAAGGGCUAAUUUGAUCAGAGUCACCUUUAAAGGGAAACCAAAUGGCAGUUCUCUUCCAUCCCUACUACUGCUGCCACAAAUUAAAUAAGCAAUAUGUUAAGUAAAAACCCCUUUGACUGCCCCUUGCUUUGCUGCCAUUGGUUCUUGGCAGGAUCAAGGAUGGAAACACCUGUUGGAAAUUGCACAAAUCAGGCAUGCUAAAUUAACACUUUAUUCUGUGUAAUUACCACAUCCAUUUGAAAUGUUAUGUGAAAUGUAUUGCUUAGUUUUGAAGAGGGGGAAGGGGUGCAGCCCAGACCUUGGCUUCACCUUUUACGAUGUUUAUGUAACAGAAUUUGCUUGGCUUCAUCUCUUAUGAUAUUGCUUUUGUUUCAUUGUCUUUGCUACUCAGUGAGCAAGCAAGCAGUUUCCAAGGCAAUGCUUCCUGGAGCAGAACCACUCAAACAUUUUUUGAAAUCUUUACACUUAAAGAAAACAACACAAGAACAACAACAUGAAAGAAUUUUUUUCCAGGUGUUUUUGUUUAUUGAUGUGUCAUAAUUUCAAGUGUUUUUGGUUACUCAACACAGGUAAUAAGAGAAGAACUCCUAAACAUGCUGUUUCAAUAAAACAUAUUCCAUGUUCAGCAACAAAAA
Molecule: non-coding RNA, 3953 nt
Organism: Podarcis muralis (Common wall lizard)
Lineage: Eukaryota; Metazoa; Chordata; Lepidosauria; Squamata; Lacertidae
Source: RefSeq, a predicted model, not a curated record